AGCCGCGGUAACACCGGCGGCCCGAGUGGUGAUCGUGAUUAUUGGGUCUAAAGGGUCCGUAGCCGGUUUGGUCAGUCCUCCGGGAAAUCUGAUAGCUCAACUAUUAGGCUUUCGGGGGAUACUGCCAGACUUGGAACCGGGAGAGGUAAGAGGUACUACAGGGGUAGGAGUGAAAUCUUGUAAUCCCUGUGGGACCACCUGUGGCGAAGGCGUCUACCAGAACGGGUUCGACGGUGAGGGACGAAGCUGGGGGCACGAACCGGAUUAGAUACCCGGGUAGUCCCAGCCGUAAACGAUGCUCGCUAGGUGUCAGGCAUGGCGCGACCGUGUCUGGUGCCGCAGGGAAGCCGUGAAGCGAGCCACCUGGGAAGUACGGCCGCAAGGCUGAAACUUAAAGGAAUUGGGCGGGGGAGCACAACAACGGGUGGAAGCCUGCGGUUUAAUUGGACUCAACGCCGGACAACUCACCGGGGGCGACAGCAAUAUGUAGGCCAAGCUGAAGACUUUGCCUGAAUCGCUGAGAAGUGGUGCAUGG
Molecule: ribosomal RNA, 535 nt
Filed under: uncultured archaeon
Lineage: Archaea
Description: bacterial SSU rRNA
Rfam family: Archaeal small subunit ribosomal RNA
Source: RNAcentral